Molecule: non-coding RNA, 506 nt
Organism: Ahaetulla prasina
Lineage: Eukaryota; Metazoa; Chordata; Lepidosauria; Squamata; Colubridae
Source: the annotation of a RefSeq genome assembly
UUCUUUCUUUCUUUCCCCAAUUCUUUAUCUCAGUCCCAUCUGUUCAUUACAAGGAACAAAAAAUGAUCCUGUGGCUAAACCUGGUGUCGUUACUAGCUGUCCUCAGAGGUGUCCUAUCUGAGGUCCAGUUGGUGGAGUCUGGAGGGGAUGUGGUGAGACCUGGGGAGUCCCUCCGUCUCUCCUGCCAAGGUUCUGGAUACAGCUUUGGUGGCUACAACAUGGGUUGGGUGAGACAGGCUCCUGGAAAAGGACUGGAAUGGGUGGCAUACAUAAGCUACAAUUCUGGUAGUACCUACUACUCAGACAAAGUCAAGGGACGCUUCACCAUCUCCAGGGACAAUGCCAAAAGCCAGCUGUAUCUGCAAAUGAACAGCCUCAAAGCUGAAGACACAGCAAUCUAUUAUUGUGCGAGAGACACAGCGAGAGGAAGUGAAUCUGAAGCCAGACAAGAACCUUCUCUCUCCCUCAGAGCAGAUCUCCAAGUGGAUUCAGUCUCUGAAAUUUGA